GAGUGGCAGAGGAAGAAGCAGGCUCCCAGCGGAGGAGCCUGAUGUGGGGCUCGAUCCCAGGACUCUGGGAUCACGCCCUGAGCCAAAGGCAGACGCUUAACGACUGCGCCACCCAGGCGCGCCGGUACAUCAUUUUUCUACAGGAGAUGGUAAGACACAGGAUUCCACCACCCGAACCGAGUGAACACAGUUAACAUCACCAGCCACGGGACAAGCCAACCUCUGGUGCCUCCUGAUGAGACACAAAGGGAAGACCAAGUGUCAUUCUUGUGGGUCCUGCCCUGAGAGGCCCAGCCUGAACCAGGUCACAAGGAGCCAGCAGGCCGGCCUGCUGGGGGUGUUCUCUGAAACACCUGCCCAGACUCUCCAAAAAUAUCUGUGCUAUGGAAGACACAUGAAGACUGAGACAUGGCUCCUGAAGCUAAAAAGACAGGAGAACAAAGACAGCAGGGACUGAAUAUGUGUGUUCCUGUCCCCAAACUCGUCUGUUGAAGUCCUCACCCUCCUGGCACCUCAGAGUGGGACUGCCUUUGGAGAUUGGGCCUUGCACGAGGUGACCAAGGGAAAAGACAUGCAGGACCCAGCAAGAAGGUGGCCGUCUGCAAGGCAAGGAGAAGGGGCUCGGGAGAAACCACCCCAACCAGAGCCUUGACCUUGGACUUCCAGCCUGUAGACCUGUGAGACAAUGAAUUUCUGUUGUUUAAGACACCUGGCCGGUGGUAUUUUGUAAGGGCAGCCUAGCAGACUGAUAUCAUAUAUAUUAACAUAAAUUGUGUGUGUGUAUAUAUAAUUUCUAUCAAGUGUAUAUAUAUUUAUACAUAAAAAUUGAUAAUUUCUAGUAAUUGUGUAUAUAUGUCUACACAUAGAGAGAGAGAAAGAGAAAGAGAUAGAAUGGUAAAUGGUUAGCAGUUUGUGAGUCUGGG
Ailuropoda melanoleuca (giant panda) is the source of this 923-nucleotide long non-coding RNA. RefSeq lists it as uncharacterized. The transcript is spliced from 4 exons. NCBI's taxonomy places the organism in Eukaryota, Metazoa, Chordata, Mammalia, Carnivora, Ursidae. The record is from RefSeq and is a predicted model, not a curated record.